This 301-nucleotide ribosomal RNA is filed under the name uncultured bacterium. RNAcentral's name for it is "partial 16S ribosomal RNA". It matches the Rfam family "Bacterial small subunit ribosomal RNA", at positions 509 to 809 of the family's 1533-position model. The record is from RNAcentral.
CAGCAGCCACGGGAAUACGUAGGUGGCAAGCGUUGUCCGGAAUUAUUGGGCGUAAAGCGUGCGCAGGCGGAUCGGUCAGUCUGUCUUAAAAGUUCGGGGCUUAACCCCGUGAUGGGAUGGAAACUGCCAAUCUAGAGUAUCGGAGAGGAAAGUGGAAUUCCUAGUGUAGCGGUGAAAUGCGUAGAUAUUAGGAAGAACACCAGUGGCGAAGGCGACUUUCUGGACGAAAACUGACGCUGAGGCGCGAAAGCCAGGGGAGCGAACGGGAUUAGAUACCCGCGUAGUCCCUGUCUCUUAUACA